RNAcentral lists this ribosomal RNA (577 nucleotides) under Candida tropicalis. RNAcentral describes it as "eukaryotic LSU rRNA". It matches the Rfam family "Eukaryotic large subunit ribosomal RNA", at positions 62 to 655 of the family's 3401-position model. The record is from RNAcentral. Lineage: Eukaryota; Fungi; Ascomycota; Pichiomycetes; Serinales; Debaryomycetaceae.
AAACCAACAGGGAUUGCCUUAGUAGCGGCGAGUGAAGCGGCAAAAGCUCAAAUUUGAAAUCUGGCUCUUUCAGAGUCCGAGUUGUAAUUUGAAGAAGGUAUCUUUGGGUCUGGCUCUUGUCUAUGUUUCUUGGAACAGAACGUCACAGAGGGUGAGAAUCCCGUGCGAUGAGAUGAUCCAGGCCUAUGUAAAGUUCCUUCGAAGAGUCGAGUUGUUUGGGAAUGCAGCUCUAAGUGGGUGGUAAAUUCCAUCUAAAGCUAAAUAUUGGCGAGAGACCGAUAGCGAACAAGUACAGUGAUGGAAAGAUGAAAAGAACUUUGAAAAGAGAGUGAAAAAGUACGUGAAAUUGUUGAAAGGGAAGGGCUUGAGAUCAGACUUGGUAUUUUGUAUGUUACUUCUUCGGGGGUGGCCUCUACAGUUUAUCGGGCCAGCAUCAGUUUGGGCGGUAGGAGAAUUGCGUUGGAAUGUGGCACGGCUUCGGUUGUGUGUUAUAGCCUUCGUCGAUACUGCCAGCCUAGACUGAGGACUGCGGUUUAUACCUAGGAUGUUGGCAUAAUGAUCUUAAGUCGCCCGUCUU